AUUCCAGCUCCAAUAGCGUAUAUUAAAGUUGUUGCAGUUAAAAAGCUCGUAGUUGGAUUUCUGGUGGGGCUGUCGGCCUGGCUCCGAAAGGGGUCGUGGUUAGUACACGCCUGGCCAUCCUCGGGGGAAGCUUUGCUGGCAUUAAGUUGUCGGCGGAGUGACGCUCGUCGUUUACUGUGAACAAAUUAGAGUGUUCAAAGCAGGCUUAGGCCGUUGAAUACAUUAGCAUGGAAUAAUGAGAUAGGACUUUGGUGGUCUAUUUUGUUGGUUUGCACGCCGAAGUAAUGAUAAGCAGGGACAGUCAGGGGCACUCGUAUUCCGCCGUGAGAGGUGAAAUUCUCAGACCAGCGGAAGACGAACUACUGCGAAAGCAUUUGCCAGGGAUGUUUUCAUCG
This is a ribosomal RNA of 395 nucleotides. It matches the Rfam family "Eukaryotic small subunit ribosomal RNA", at positions 582 to 975 of the family's 1831-position model.